GCGAGACGGCGGCCGCGAACUUCCGGUUUAUCCACUGCUCGGCGCGCGGCUGUACCGCCUUGCGUAAGGCGCGUACUGCGCAGGCGCCGGUCCCACCCCGGAAGCACAUCCCACACUUCCGCUGCGAGCGCGUGCGGCUUCCGCCGGUGACACUGGGUGAUCAAUUGGGCUCAACGGUUCUCGACAUCUCGGUGUCUGCCGGGCGCUGCUCCGAGAAACUCAAGUUGAGCCCAGCUCCGGGACGUGCAUCAUGCAGCAGAUGUAACGCAGCGUGUAGUGCGGUCCUGGGUCGGAAAGCGGGUAACGGAUAACAAGGGGAGGAACCCAGAUGAGUGGGUUUAUUUUUCAAAACCAAGAGGGAGUCUGCUAUGAACCAUUCCUGAGCACCAUGGGAAGAAGCUUUGGCCUGAGCCCAUCUGGUCCCACCUAGAAACAUCAUCACACAGAGAUCAGAGAGGCCCUGGGAGUUCCUCACACCGCUGGCCAGGACUCGGAGAAGCCACCCAUGUGUGACUGCCACCACAGCACAGCAAACGCUCCCCAGGUGACGGCGUCAUUCUCUCUGUCACUGACGGCCCUCUUUGGGGCUCCUUGUGGCCAGAUUCCCCCACACAGAUGGCAGACACACACAAAAAUAUCCCAGUUCGAUCGAUGUCACAGGCUCCUUCGGGUCACACCUGAAACUCCCUCGCAGCCCGUGCUGGUCAGCUCUCCAUCACUGUGACAACACACCAGAGAGUGCUGCCUUUCCUGACCCGGCACGGCUCGGCACCAUUGCGGUGCCCCGGACGAGCAGGUCAAGACCGGAGUGUGCAGGAGAGGAAAGGUGUUCCCCUCGUGGCCAGGAGACAGGAGAGGAAAGGGAGAGCCCAGCCCCAGUGACCAGAGGACUCCCCACCAGGGCCCGCCUCUCAAAGACCCCUUUGCCUCCCACGGUGCCACCCGGGGACCACGCCUUCCAUGGCUGGCUUCGGGGACAGCAGCAGCAGCACCCACACUGCAGCAGAGAACGUUCAUUCCGCACGCGUGUUUGUUGUCUGCAUGUUCAUUCUGUGUCACCUGCCACACUAUAAACUCCUUUCGUUUUCUCACUAAGUGGAACUUUGCA
Long non-coding RNA from Cavia porcellus (domestic guinea pig), 1108 nucleotides. RefSeq lists it as uncharacterized. The record is from RefSeq and is a predicted model, not a curated record. NCBI's taxonomy places the organism in Eukaryota, Metazoa, Chordata, Mammalia, Rodentia, Caviidae. The transcript has 4 exons.